UAAAUUGUAAUUUCAUUAUAAUCCCGUCAACAAUGAUUAUAUUUGAAGCACGUACUAAGUUUAGACGCGUCGCAGCUUGCUGCACGUUAGCUUUGACGAAGCCGCUUCCUCAGCCAUCACCGCGACAACAAAACUGUCUUAAACCACAGAGAAAACUUUUUUUAUAGCAGAGAUACGAUACCUUUUUUUUUUUUAUCUUUAUC
Molecule: long non-coding RNA, 203 nt
Organism: Limulus polyphemus (Atlantic horseshoe crab)
Lineage: Eukaryota; Metazoa; Arthropoda; Merostomata; Xiphosura; Limulidae
Exons: 4
Source: RefSeq, a predicted model, not a curated record